GAUGAACGCUGGCGGCGUGCCUAAUACAUGCAAGUCGAGCGAACAGACGAGGAGCUUGCUCCUCUGACGUUAGCGGCGGACGGGUGAGUAACACGUGGAUAACCUACCUAUAAGACUGGGAUAACUUCGGGAAACCGGAGCUAAUACCGGAUAAUAUAUUGAACCGCAUGGUUCAAUAGUGAAGGACGGUUUUGCUGUCACUUAUAGAUGGAUCCGCGCCGCAUUAGCUAGUUGGUAAGGUAACGGCUUACCGAGGCAACGAUGCGUAGCCGACCUGAGAGGGUGAUCGGCCACACUGGAACUGAGACACGGUCCAGACUCCUACGGGAGGCAGCAGUAGGGAAUCUUCCGCAAUGGGCGAAAGCCUGACGGAGCAACGCCGCGUGAGUGAUGAAGGUCUUCGGAUCGUAAAACUCUGUUAUUAGGGAAGAACAAAUGUGUAAGUAACUAUGCACGUCUUGACGGUACCUAAUCAGAAAGCCACGGCUAACUACGUG
RNAcentral lists this ribosomal RNA (497 nucleotides) under uncultured bacterium. Its description in RNAcentral is "partial 16S ribosomal RNA". It matches the Rfam family "Bacterial small subunit ribosomal RNA", at positions 28 to 507 of the family's 1533-position model. The record is from RNAcentral.